AGAAGUGGAAGUGUGGUGACACAUGUAGCGGACUAAUACUAAUAGCUCGAGGACUUAUCCA
This 61-nucleotide ribosomal RNA is filed under the name Streptococcus thermophilus MTCC 5460. RNAcentral's name for it is "partial 23S ribosomal RNA". The record is from RNAcentral. Lineage: Bacteria; Bacillati; Bacillota; Bacilli; Lactobacillales; Streptococcaceae.